This is a non-coding RNA of Populus trichocarpa (black cottonwood), 156 nucleotides long. The record is from Rfam. NCBI's taxonomy places the organism in Eukaryota, Viridiplantae, Streptophyta, Magnoliopsida, Malpighiales, Salicaceae.
UCUAGAACUUAAGAUAUGGGUUGAACACUGAACAGUGUCUGGGCUGCAGGACGGAUUAUGACUUCUGUUUUGUUGCUAUAAUUUGAACUUGAAAACGACCGUUUUGAAUCUUGGACUCUUCAUGAAAGUUUUAGGCCUAUGUCUUAGCUUUCCAUC